This 3045-nucleotide long non-coding RNA is filed under the name Homo sapiens (human). Its description in RNAcentral is "HSALNT0293641". The record is from RNAcentral. Lineage: Eukaryota; Metazoa; Chordata; Mammalia; Primates; Hominidae.
UCUAGUUCCUAUAUUGUGACUCAGAUAAAUACAAUAUCAUGCUAUGAUUAGCAUUUGAUAAUAAUUUUGAGUUUUUAAAAAUGCAAACUUUUUGCUUAAAAAACACCAAUGACUUCCCAUUGCCUGUAAGAUGAAUCUAUACUGUCUAACAUGGCUUGUUUUCACCCUGUAACUCUGAAUCAUUCCACAAAUACUCAUUAAGCGUCUAUCAUGGGCCAGGCAUGGUUGAUCCUGCUAAAGAUACAGUAGUGAUCAAAACAGACAAAAACCCUUGCCCUGCUUGAACUUGGUAAUACCAGAUUGUGGGCCUUUGCCCACACCCUUUGCUCUGCCUGAGGCUUUCUCUCCAUCUCCCCAUUAUUCUGCCUUUGCCUGAUCAACUCUUACUCAUCCUUCCAGUCUCACUGUAGAGACCGUAUAUUUAGGAAGUAUAAUGAUUAAUUUAAUGUGUCAAUUUAGCUGGGCCACAAUGUCCACAUAUUUGGUCAAACCUGAUUCUGGAUGUUUCUAUGGAGGUGUUUUUUUUGGAUGAAAUUGACAUUUAAAUUGGCGGACUUUGAGUAAAGCAGAUUGCCUUCCAUGAUGUGUGUAGCCCUCAUCCAGUCGGUUGAAGGCCUGAAUAGAGCAAUGACCUCUCCUUAUCAAGUGGUUCUGCUGUCCUUGGACUCAAAAUACAAAUCUUUCUUUAGUCUCUAGCCUGCUUACCCAUCCCAUCAGAUUUUGGACUUGCCAAGCCUCUACAAUCAUGUGAGCCAGUUUCCUAAAAUAAAUCUUUAUGUACACAUCCUAUUGGUUUUAUUCGUCUGGAGAACUCUAAUACAACAAGGCCCUCUUGACUCUUCAAGUCUGUGUUAGGAGCUCUUCCUACACUUUCUCGUAGCAUUGUGUGCAGUUCCUAGCAUAGAGAUCAUCGUAGUGAUCUACGUAAAUGUAUAUGGCCCUACAUUUGUCAUCUACCACAAAAGAUACUCCAACACUGUGGAGCUGUGUUAGACUUCCUGGGAAAUAAAGAAAUAGACACACCUCUGUUGCCUUGGCUAUCGUACAGAGGCAUGGACGUGAGGAGAACAGGUACCCACUCUGACAAUUGAACAGUCAGCUCAUGGAGACCUGAAACCUUAUGCACAACACCUUCCCGGCAGGCCAGUAGCAACUCCAGCACUAUCCCAUUUUUGUGUGGCAGUUUUCAUUUGUCCUUGCUUCUGCCUCUAUUUUUCACUUUGCUUUUCUUCCCACUGCAUUUACUGAUGCCUUUUCUCUCUGCUCUAGUUCUCUGCUAUAUCAUGACUUCUCUUUAAUAGUAGCUUCUACUACCUAUGGCUUCUACUACUUCACAGCUUUGGUUUACUGCCUAUGUGUCUUUCAAAGUGUGUGGCCCACUACUCUCUAUAGACCUCUCUACGUGUCACAUCAAAUUCCCCAAGGUGAAGAUCUGAUUGACUAGUUCAGUGUUUGGUGUAUAAUAACCCUGUUGAAUAGGAUUCUUCCUCAGAGUCACUGCAUGAGCUUCUCUGAUAGCCAUUUCACAAGUGGCUGACUUUGGGAUAGGUGCUAGUUCUAGGUACAAAAUUUAGAAUAAAUAUUUCAGAAAUAAAGAUCACAAAAUGCAGAGUAAUUCAGGUAUAACUAAUUGUGUGUGGACUCUAUUCAGAAGACUAGGAGUCUAAUAGGUUCACUGUGUAGGCAAUUACCAAUUUUUGUUUAAUUUUUAAAAUAUUAUUAUUUAUUUAUAGAUUGUGUUUAUACAGGCCAAGGUAAAUUGAAGAGUUUAGCUAUGCUAUGAAGUUUCUCUCUAUAGUGAUAAUAUCUGAUAAUGUAUAGGAUAUCAAAGAAUUAUAUGCCGAGAAGGGUCAGAAAUCACCUUGUCCAGCAGGUCUCAACUCCUUGGUCUCAAUCAGUUUACAAUCCUAAAAAUUACUACGGACCCCAGUGAACUUUAGUUUAAGUGAGUUGUAUCAAUCAAUGUUUAUUGUAUUAGUUAUUGAAGAAUAAUUUUAAAUAUUCAUUCCUUUAAAAAUAAUAGUAAUAAAUACCUUAUAAAUAAAAUAACAUAUUUUAUGAAAAAUACGUUUGUAUUAGUGAGAAGACUGGUGUCGUCUUGCCUUUUUUUGUCGAUCUUUUUAAUGGCUAGUUGAAUGAAAGAUAGCUGGAUUCCCAUAUUUGCUUCUGCAUUUAAGCUAUUAUAAUAUCAUAUGUCAUGUAGCCACUAGAAAACUCCAUGGUGUACUUGUGAGCAAACAAGAGUGAAAAAGGCAAAUGACACCUUAGUGUUAUUAUGAAAGAGUUUUGAUUUCAGAGACAUCCUGAAAAGAUUUCAGAGACCCCAGGGUCCCUGGACCACAUUUUGAAAAUCUUGAACAUGGUGGCAGAAGUGGGGUUAGAACUCAGUAUCCUGUUUAUUCAUUAUGUCAGGAUUCAAGCACCAACAAACCAACUGCCCACAUUCUGGUCCAAAGAGUAGACAAAAUGCCAGGUGUCCACCUGUCUCUUGCUGUGAAAACCUGGCCUCAGAGGAGUGAACCAGGCUCUGGGAGGUGAAGAGAUUGGUGACAUUUCACAGCCAUCAAAAGGGACACAAAGAUAAGAACACAGGAUCCAAGAGAUCUCAUCCUUGUCCUUUCGUUGGUCUGUGUAUGCUGCAGUUUCACUCUAAACCUGAUGUACUGAAGGUUUGUUAUAGAGAAAUAAACCAAUAAAUCGGAAGAAAGAGGACAUGAUUUGUUCACACCAGUCCCUUUCAGCAUUUCCCAGGUUAGAUCAGAGGGGCAAUUCUAGGAGCAGCAGUCUGUAUUAUUGCCUUUAAUUUCCCCAUGGCCCAGACUAACAUUGUCUUUUCCCUUUGUUACGCUUUUGGCAGAAGGUCUUUCCCUCAUGGUUAGACUUAAUUGGAAUCCAAGCCAAAGGGGGAUGGGACAGGCUGCCAUGUUGUAGCACUUUCCUGAGCCAAUUCUUCAGGGAAUAUCUGUGUUCCGUUGAUAUAAUGUGUAAUACAAGGCUUAUUGCACAGUACAUGGGAUUAAAAGAGGAUUUUAAUUUUAAAUUUCU